This 353-nucleotide ribosomal RNA is filed under the name Marinobacter sp. enrichment culture clone P. RNAcentral describes it as "bacterial SSU rRNA". It matches the Rfam family "Bacterial small subunit ribosomal RNA", at positions 1041 to 1393 of the family's 1533-position model. Lineage: Bacteria; Pseudomonadati; Pseudomonadota; Gammaproteobacteria; Pseudomonadales; Marinobacteraceae. The record is from RNAcentral.
CUGCAUGGCCGUCGUCAGCUCGUGUCGUGAGAUGUUGGGUUAAGUCCCGUAACGAGCGCAACCCCUAUCCCUGGUUGCUAGCAGGUAAUGCUGAGAACUCCAGGGAGACUGCCGGUGACAAACCGGAGGAAGGUGGGGAUGACGUCAGGUCAUCAUGGCCCUUACGGCCAGGGCUACACACGUGCUACAAUGGCGCGUACAGAGGGCUGCGAACUCGCGAGAGUAAGCCAAUCCCUUAAAACGCGUCGUAGUCCGGAUCGGAGUCUGCAACUCGACUCCGUGAAGUCGGAAUCGCUAGUAAUCGCGAAUCAGAAUGUCGCGGUGAAUACGUUCCCGGGUCUUGUACACACCGA